Molecule: ribosomal RNA, 253 nt
Filed under: uncultured bacterium
Lineage: Bacteria
Description: partial 16S ribosomal RNA
Rfam family: Bacterial small subunit ribosomal RNA
Source: RNAcentral
UACGUAGGGUGCGAGCGUUGCCCGGACUUAUUGGGCGUAAAGGGCGCGUAGGCGGUCACGCACGUCCGUUGUGAAAUCGCUCGGCUCAACUGGGCGGGGUCAGCGGAUACGGCGUGGCUGGAGCAAGCUAGGGGGCAAUGGAAUUCCCGGUGUAGUGGUGGAAUGCGUAGAUAUCGGGAGGAACACCAGUGGCGAAGGCGGUUGCCUGGAGCUUUGCUGACGCUGAUGCGCGAAAGCGUGGGGAGCGAUCCGG